This 532-nucleotide ribosomal RNA is filed under the name Alphaproteobacteria bacterium. RNAcentral's name for it is "bacterial SSU rRNA". It matches the Rfam family "Bacterial small subunit ribosomal RNA", at positions 1001 to 1533 of the family's 1533-position model. Lineage: Bacteria; Pseudomonadati; Pseudomonadota; Alphaproteobacteria. The record is from RNAcentral.
CGGAGACGGUUUCCUUCAGUUCGGCUGGAUCCAAGACAGGUGUUGCAUGGCUGUCGUCAGCUCGUGUCGUGAGAUGUUGGGUUAAGUCCCGCAACGAGCGCAACCCUCGCCUUUAGUUGCCAUCAUUAAGUUGGGCACUCUAGAGGGACUGCCGAUGAUAAGUCGGAGGAAGGUGGGGAUGACGUCAAGUCCUCAUGGCCCUUACGGGUUGGGCUACACACGUGCUACAAUGGCGGCGACAAUGGGCAGCGAAGGGGCGACCCGGUGCAAAUCCCAAAAAGCCGUCUCAGUUCGGAUUGUACUCUGCAACUCGAGUGCAUGAAGGUGGAAUCGCUAGUAAUCGCGUAACAGCAUGACGCGGUGAAUACGUUCCCGGGCCUUGUACACACCGCCCGUCACACCAUGGGAGUUGGUUUUACCCGAAGCCGGUGCGCUAACCGCAAGGAGGCAGCCGACCACGGUAAGGUCAGCGACUGGGGUGAAGUCGUAACAAGGUAGCCCUAGGGGAACCUGGGGCUGGAUCACCUCCUUU